Molecule: long non-coding RNA, 951 nt
Organism: Oncorhynchus tshawytscha (Chinook salmon)
Lineage: Eukaryota; Metazoa; Chordata; Actinopteri; Salmoniformes; Salmonidae
Source: Ensembl
GUAGGUGUGUGUGUGCUUAUCGUGCCUGCAUGUCCGUGUGUGUGUGUGUGUGUGUGUGUGUGUGUGCUUAUCGAGCCUGCGUGUCCGGUCUGUGUGUGUGUGGGUGUGUGUGUGCUUAUCGUGCCUGCGUGUCCGGUGUGUGUGUGUGUGUUUGUGUGUAGUGUGUGUGUGUGUGUGUGCUUAUCGUGCCUGCGUGUCCGGUGUGUGUGUGUGUGUGUGUGUAGGUGUGUGUGUGUGUGCUUAUCGUGCAUGCGUGUCCGGUGUGUGUGUGUGUGUGUGUGUGUGUUUGUGUGUAGGUGUGUGUGUGUGUGUGCUUAUCGUGCCUGCGUGUCCGGUGUGUGUGUGUGUGUUUGUGUGUGUGUGUGUGUGUGUGUGUGUGUGUGUGUGUGUGUGCUUAUCGUGCCUGCGUGUCCGGUCUGUGUGAUAGUCCUGAUAUUGUCGGUAUGAUGCAUAGCCGGUAUCUUGAUGGUUGAGAUUAGAUUCUCAGGGGGAAUCUGCUCUCUUUCUGAUCUCCAUAUCUACAUACUCUUACCUGUCCUACUUGGCAAAGUCUCACAGAUGGACAUUUUGCCAUGACAAAGUGUUUUGCUGGUACUGGUAGGAUUUAAUCAUUUGAUGUUGGUCAUCAGUUCACCGUGCAGUGAGUGUGUUGGCGCUAUCUUUGAUGACAUCACUAUGUGAGGCUCUUCUCACUACACUCUUUUUUUAAAAGCAUUCCAAAGGGCUUCUUCUGGUGUCCCCAUAGGAGAACCCUUUUUGGUUCCAGGAAGAACCCUUUUUGGUUCCAGUUUGAACCUUUUUGGGUUCCGGUAGAACCUUUUUGGGUUCCAUGUAGAACUGUCUUUUUCACUCUCUAUUGUUCCUUUUGGCAUGACCUGACUUGGUUUUGUUUAGACAACAAUAGUCAGUCCAUUGUUGAGUUCAGGCAAAGAGUUUAACUGAAUAACGUAG